Paramuricea clavata is the source of this 1331-nucleotide non-coding RNA. NCBI's taxonomy places the organism in Eukaryota, Metazoa, Cnidaria, Anthozoa, Malacalcyonacea, Plexauridae. The record is from the annotation of a GenBank genome assembly.
GCUGUAGUAGUAGCUGUAGUAGUAGUAGCUGUAGUAGUAGCUGUAGUAGUAGUAGCUGUAGUAGUAGUAGCUGUAGUAGUAGUAGCUGUAGUAGUAGUAGCUGUAGUAGUAGUAGCUGUAGUAGUAGCUGUAGUAGUAGUAGCUGUAGUAGUAGCUGUAGUAGUAGUAGCUGUAGUAGUAGUAGCUGUAGUAGUAGUAGCAGUAACUGUAGUAGUAGUAGUAGUAGCUGUAGUAGUAGUAGCUGUAGUAGUAGUAGUAGCUGUAGUAGUAGUAGCUGUAGUAGUAGUAGUAGCUGUAGUAGUAGUAGCUGUAGUAGUAGUAGUUGUAGUAGUAGUAGUAGCUGUAGUAGUAGUAGCUGUAGUAGUAGUAGCUGUAGUAGUAGUAGUAGCUGUAGUAGUAGUAGCUGUAGUAGUAGUAGUAGCUGUAGUAGUAGUAGUAGCUGUAGUAGUAGUAGUAGUAGUAGUAGUAGCUGUAGUAGUAGUAGCUGUAGUAGUAGUAGCUGUAGUAGUAGUAGUAGCUGUAGUAGUAGUAGCUGUAGUAGUAGUAGCUGUAGUAGUAGCUGUAGUAGUAGUAGCUGUAGUAGUAGUAGCUGUAGUAGUAGUAGCUGUAGUAGUUGUAGCUGUAGUAGUAGUUGUAGCUGUAGUAGUAGUAGCUCCAGUAGUAGUAGUAGUAGUAGCAGUAGUAGUAGCUGUAGUAGUAGUAGCUGUAGUAGUAGUAGCUGUAGUAGUAGUAGCUGUAGUAGUAGUAGCUGUAGUAGUAGUAGCUGUAGUAGUAGAUGUAGUAGUAGUAGCUGUAGUAGUAGCUGUAGUAGUAGUAGCUGUAGUAGUAGUAGCUGUAGUAGUAGUAGCUGUAGUAGUAGCUGUAGUAGUAGUAGCUGUAGUAGUAGCUAUAGUAGUAGUAGCUGUAGUAGUAGUAGCUGUAGUAGUAGUAGCUGUAGUAGUAGCUGUAGUAGUAGUAGCUGUAGUAGUAGUAGCUGUAGUAGUAGUAGCUGUAGUAGUUGUAGCUGUAGUAGUAGUAGCUCCAGUAGUAGUAGUAGUAGUAGCAGUAGUAGUAGCUGUAGUAGUAGUAGCUGUAGUAGUAGUAGCUGUAGUAGUAGUAGCUGUAGUAGUAGUAGUAGUAGUAGUAGUAGUAGUAGCUGUAGUAGUUGUAGCUGUAGUAGUAGUAGCUGUAGUAGUAGUAGCUGUAGUAGUAGUAGCUGUAGUAGUAGUAGCUGUAGUAGUAGUAGCUGUAGUAGUAGUAGCUGUAGUAGUAGUAGCUGUAGUAGUAGCUGUAGUAGUAGUAGCUGUAGUAGUAGUAGCUGUAGUAGUAGUAGUAGCUGUAGUAGUAGUAGC